Molecule: non-coding RNA, 1082 nt
Organism: Sus scrofa (pig)
Lineage: Eukaryota; Metazoa; Chordata; Mammalia; Artiodactyla; Suidae
Source: RefSeq, a predicted model, not a curated record
CCAACCUUCAGUCAAGGAAAGGAAAUAGAGUCUGUGUGGGAGGGUCAGGUCUGUGCAACACAUAUUCCCCACGGCUGGAGAAGAAUUAGUGAUUGACUGUGGGAUGGAAAGACCUGUGAAAACAGGGCAGGGAAAAAUCACUUUUUGGUCUCGGAACUCAGCUUUGGCGCGCUCACGUUUGGUGUCGGAGCUCAUUUCUUUUCUGAAACUGGGAUGUGAUAAAGGAUGGGGAUCCUGGCCUUUCUGCAUUGCAAGGUUCUUUCUGCCUCCAAGUGUGGGGGUAGCAAGCAAAGGGGCUGUGCUGAUGCCUUCAAAGAUGUACAGGUGUGAUUUCUCUACAUAAUAUUGCCUGAGAAAGAGACCUAGACAUGGCGGAGGAAGAGGAAGAAACGGCGGGUUCUCAGAGUGCUCUGGACAAUGAUGGCUCGCCCCUUGUUCAGUGGGAAUACAGGCUUUUGUUAGCAAAUGUUCUGUCUUGCUUUCUCUAAGCUGAAUAUGGUCCCUUUUUUGAGCAAAGAGCCCUAUAGGAUGUGAAGCAAAGGAGAUAACAGUCAUACACCCAGGGUCUCUGCUCCAGUAAUCUUCCGUGGCAGUCAGAGUGAGAGAAAAGGCUUCCCCAUGGCUAGUAAGUGUCUAUGUGUUCUGACUCUUCUUCUACUGCUUAUGGGAGCCUGGGAAAAUCUGUGCACAUACAACGUUCCUUUUUGUCAUUCAUGUGAGUUUCUCCUCCCUUAACCUUUGGAGGCACUUGUCUCCUAGACACUUACACACUCCACUGGGGAUGUGAGGUAGACUGACCCUCCCACAGUCAGAUCUACCUAAAGCAGACUUGUCCAUAGACCAGACCUGGUACUAGGUACUUAGAAAUGAAUCUGGGAGGCUUACAGUCUUUACCCAGGCCUCAGGAUAGAACAACCUGGGCUACUUCAUUAAGGUAUAAUUGAUCUGGGCCCUGCUAAAGAGUCACUGACAGAAUCUAUGGGGGUGGGGCACAGGCAAUGAUAGCUCUUAAAAACACAGAGAUGGGAGUUCCCAUUGUGACUCAGCGGAAACGAAUCCAUCUAGGAACCAUGAGGUUUUGG